This 1478-nucleotide ribosomal RNA is filed under the name uncultured bacterium. RNAcentral describes it as "bacterial SSU rRNA". It matches the Rfam family "Bacterial small subunit ribosomal RNA". The record is from RNAcentral.
AGAGUUUGAUCCUGGCUCAGAACGAAUGAAGGGGACAUGCUUAACACAUGCAGUCGAACGGUUGAUGUGGUUUUACCUGCAUUGAUAGUGGCAGACGGGUGAGUAACACGUGGGAACGUACCCUUUAGUUCAGAAUAACGUUUGGAAACGGACGCUAAUACUGGAUAAGCCCUUAGGGGGAAAGAUUUAUCGCUAGAGGAGCGGCCCGCGCUAGAUUAUGUAGUUGGUAGGGUAAAGGCUUACCAAGCCUAUGAUCUAUAGCUGGUUUGAGAGGAUGAUCAGCCACCCUGGGACUGAGACACGGCCCAGACUCCUACGGGAGGCAGCUGUGGGGAAUAUUGGACAAUGGGGGGAACCCUGAUCCCGCAAUGCCGCGUGAGUGAAGAAGGCCUUCGGGUUGUAAAACUCUUUUGUUAGGGACGAUGAUGACGGUACCUAACGAAUAAGCCCCGGCUAACUUCGUGCCAGCAGCCGCGGUAAUACGAAGGGGGCUAGCGUUGUUCGGAAUGACUGGGCGUAAAGGGUGUGUAGGCGGUUAGACACGUCAGAUGUGAAAUCCCCCGGGCUUAACCUGGGAAUGGGAUUUGAUACGGUAUAGCUAGAGAUUGGUAGAGGGUACAGGAAUUUGCCAGUGUAGAGGUGAAAAUUCUUAGAGAUUCGCAGGAACGCCGGUGGGCGAAUGGCGGCUACCUGGGGCCAAUACUUGACGCUGAGGGACGAAGAGCGUGGGGGAGCAAAUCAGGGAUUAGAUACCCUGGUAGUCCACGCCCGUAAACGAUGAGUGCUAGAUGUUGCGUGUGAACGCAUGCAGUGUCGCAGUUAACGCAUUAAGCACUCCGCCUGGGGAGUACGGUCGCAAGAUUAAAACUCAAAGGAAUUGACGGGGGCCCCGCACAAGCGGUGGAGUAUGUGGUUUAAUUCGAAGCAACGCGCAGAACCUUACCAGCCUUUGACAUGGGAAGUUUAGAGGAUAGAGAUAUCCUCUUUUCAGUUCGGCUGGCUUCCACACAGGUGCUGCAUGGCUGUCGUCAGCUCGUGUCGUGAGAUGUUGGGUUAAGUCCCGCAACGAGCGCAACCCUCACUACUAAUUGCCAUCAGGUUUGGCUGGGCACUUUAGUGGAACUGCCGGUGAUAAGCCGGAGGAAGGUGGGGAUGACGUCAAGUCCUCAUGGCCCUUAUGGGCUGGGCUACACACGUACUACAAUGGCGGUGACAGAGGGCAGCGAAAGAGUUAAUUUGGAGCGAAUCCCUAAAAGCCAUCUCAGUUCGGAUUGUCCUCUGCAACUCGAGGACAUGAAGUCGGAAUCGCUAGUAAUCGCGGAUCAGCAUGCCGCGGUGAAUACGUUCAUGGGCCUGGUACACACUGCCCGUCACACCAUGGGAGUUGGUUAUACCUUAAGACGGUGCGCUAACCCGUAAGGGGAGUAGCCGACCCCGGUAGAAUUUUAUGGCUGGGGUGAAGUCGUAACAAGGUAACC